GGGUGUACGGCAAAGGCAGCAGCAGGUGGCCCAAGAGCCUGAGUUCCUGAAGCAGCUGCCUCGGCUCAGCCCAGCUCUACCCCUUCCUGCGUGGCAUAAGAUUAGAAGAGGCUGUUCCUAAGUGGAAAAACAACGGCCUCUCCUGCAGGGUAAUAAGGAAGAAGACACCUUUCAGGAGAAACUGGUUGAGGACAAGCAGGUGCCCUGCAGCUUCCAUCACCAGACAGAGGAUCAGCUGGAAGAACUGAGCACCUCUGUUCAACGGGCCUCUUAUUUCAAGUUGACCACAGUGGUUUAGGUAUUGAGUGAGGGGAAAUGGUGCUAUUUAUUGAUUCCUACCAAUCUCCACACUAUGUGCCACGACACAGAGAAAUACCUUAAUCAAGACAGAGUUCCUUCCCAAGCAUAUGGAGUCUGGAGCUGAAGCAGUUAUCCUGGGUCACAAAGCAGAAUCUGUCCGUCGAGGAUGGUGGCCUACAAGAUAGAACGUUACGGUUCCUGAUGGCUAUGGAGACAUCAUGCCAGCCCAGCCCACGGUUUCUGACACUGCCAUUUGUGUGAGACAGACAGAAUCCCCACUUGUUGAAGUCACUGUUAUUUUGGAAUUUGUGUCAUUUUUGGUCAAACCUUGGGAUGAAUCACUGCAAUGAUAUGUUUCCUUUUCUAAUAAUUUCUUAAUCUCAAUGGAUUGUAAUGGCAGGGUAGAUAAUAACAUUUGUAGAUAAAACCUCAAAAACCCCACAGUGCUUUCUAUGUACUCCUUCUUAGGAAGUUCCUGGAGUAAACCAGUUAAGAGGAAGACAUGGGAUCCUGGGAACAGGGAGUCCAACACAGAAGAGAGGUAAAAGGACUUUCUCCCACUGGGACUGGCGCAAAGCUCCAGGACAAGAGCCCGGGAAAAGUCUGGAAGGCAGCCUGCCAUGACUGGAGCAGAAGAGUGGAGGGAACCGGGAGAGACGAUCCCAGGGGAAGAAGGGAACUGGUAGAACAUCUCAUGAAUUUGACCAUCAGGAAGUUUUACAAUUCCGGGGAGAGUUUUAACGAGUCCACCUUCCAUCACCUCCCCUGAUGUCCUUGGUGUGGUUCGUGAGGAAAUCAGCUUCGGUCCGUCCAGUGUCUGUUAUACACCGGGCACUGGGCUAAGUGCUUCGCGUGUUUUACACUCAUGGGUUUUGCCCUACAUCUAUGGACAUUCAUUCUUCCUUUGGUGCUGAAAAUGCCAGUCACUUGCUCCCCUGGGCUUCCUUGCAGUAAGGACACAUGGUCUAAUCUCCUAUGAAAUAAUAUAUGGCCAUUUAAAGUCACGAUGCAGAAGACGGUUUAUGGACAUGAGAAAAUACUCUCAAUGUAUUAUGCAAAAGGAAGCAAAUAAUCAAAGAUAAUGAAAUAACUACUUAAUCAAUUGUUAAUGAAAAUAAAAAGGACUAACAACUAUAAA
Suricata suricatta (meerkat) is the source of this 1438-nucleotide long non-coding RNA. RefSeq lists it as uncharacterized. The record is from RefSeq and is a predicted model, not a curated record. The transcript has 5 exons. Lineage: Eukaryota; Metazoa; Chordata; Mammalia; Carnivora; Herpestidae.